GAUGAACGCUGGCGGCGUGCCUAAUACAUGCAAGUCGAGCGAACGGACGAGAAGCUUGCUUUUCUGAUGUUAGCGGCGGACGGGUGAGUAACACGUGGAUAACCUACCUAUAAGACUGGGAUAACUUCGGGAAACCGGAGCUAAUACCGGAUAAUAUUUUGAACCGCAUGGUUCAAGAGUGAAAGAUGGUCUUGCUGCACCUAAUGGAUGGAUCCGCGCUGCAUUAGCUAGUUGGUAAGGUAACGGCUUACCAAGGCAACGUUGCUUAGCCGACCUGGGAGGGUGAUCGGCCACACUGGAACUGGGACACGGUCCAGACUCCUACGGGAGGCAGCGUUAGGGAAUCUUCCGCAAUGGGCGAAAGCCUGACGGAGCAAGGCCGCGUGAGUGAUGAAGGUCUUCGGAUCGUAAACCUCUGUUAUUAGGGAAGAACAUAUGUGUAAGUAACUGUGCACAUCGUGACGGUACCUAAUCAGAAAGCCACGGCUAACUACGUG
Molecule: ribosomal RNA, 497 nt
Filed under: uncultured bacterium
Lineage: Bacteria
Description: partial 16S ribosomal RNA
Rfam family: Bacterial small subunit ribosomal RNA
Source: RNAcentral